Molecule: ribosomal RNA, 373 nt
Filed under: uncultured organism
Description: partial 16S ribosomal RNA
Rfam family: Bacterial small subunit ribosomal RNA
Source: RNAcentral
GUAGGUGGCAAGCGUUGUCCGGAAUUAUUGGGCGUAAAGCGCGCGCAGGCGGUCCUUUAAGUCUGAUGUGAAAGCCCACCGGCUCAACCGGUGGAGGGUCAUUGGAAACUGGGGGACUUGAGUACAGAAGAGGAAAGCGGAAUUCCAAGUGUAGCGGUGAAAUGCGUAGAGAUUUGGAGGAACACCAGUGGCGAAGGCGGCUUCUGGUCUGUAACUGACGCUGAGGCGCGAAAGCGUGGGGAGCAAACAGGGAUUAGAUACCCUGGUAGUCCACGCCGUAAACGAUGAGUGCUAAGUGUUAGGGGGUUUCCGCCCCCUUAGUGCUGCAGCUAACGCAUUAAGCACUCCGCCUGGGGAUACGGCCGCAAGGCUG